Molecule: long non-coding RNA, 460 nt
Organism: Perognathus longimembris pacificus (Pacific pocket mouse)
Lineage: Eukaryota; Metazoa; Chordata; Mammalia; Rodentia; Heteromyidae
Exons: 3
Source: RefSeq, a predicted model, not a curated record
AAAAUGUAGGCAUCAUUAGGUGCUGAUUGUUCAUGCCUACUCAGGAGGUUGAUAGCUAAAGAUGGUGGUUCAAAGCCAGCCCAAUUAACCAGCAAAAAGCCAGAAGCAGAAGUGCAGCUCGAGUGGUCAAGUACCAAUCUUGAAAGGAAAAAGCAAAGCAACAGCAAAAAGGUCCUGAGUUCAAACCCUAGUACCAACACCAAGACAAAAACAAACACAAAGGAACACUCACAUUUCCUCACUAUUUCCUGCUGUCACCCCUUUGACUCAAACAGAAUCCCUUGCUUGGAAAAUUAACCUGUCACUUCCCCCUAUCAAAAAUCUUACCCCAGGAGGGACACUCCUGUUUUAGAGGCUGUGACCUCCCAGGGGAAAAAAAAAUCUUACCCCGAGGGCUGGAAAGGUGGCUUAGUGUUAAGUGCUUGCUUAGCAUGCAUGAAGCCCUGGGUAUGAUUCUGCA